AGAAUCAACGCUGGCGGCGUGCCUAACACAUGCAAGUCGCACGAGAAAGGGUAGCAAUACCUGAGUAAAGUGGCGCACGGGUGAGUAACACGUGAAUAAUCUACCUCCGAGUGGGGAAUAACUGAGAGAAAUCUUAGCUAAUACCGCAUAACACUUACGAGUCAAAGCAGCAAUGCGCUUGGAGAGGGGUUCGCGGCCGAUUAGUUAGUUGGCGGGGUAAUGGCCCACCAAGACGAUGAUCGGUA
RNAcentral lists this ribosomal RNA (245 nucleotides) under uncultured bacterium. RNAcentral's name for it is "partial small subunit ribosomal RNA". It matches the Rfam family "Bacterial small subunit ribosomal RNA", at positions 26 to 285 of the family's 1533-position model. The record is from RNAcentral.